Molecule: long non-coding RNA, 696 nt
Organism: Rhea pennata
Lineage: Eukaryota; Metazoa; Chordata; Aves; Rheiformes; Rheidae
Exons: 3
Source: RefSeq, a predicted model, not a curated record
GGCCGCCCCGCCGGCGCGACGCCUUCGCCUGCGGCCCGUGGCCGGACGACAGCGCGAGCGCGGCCAGCGGCGGCAGCUCCCCAGCAGGCGCCUCCCGGCCAGGCCCCGAGAUCAAAAUCCAGCUGGAGCGGCCCCCGCCGGACACGGGCUCCUAGUCUUCCUCGCCGGGCGCCGCGGGGGGCCGGAGGAAGGCUCGGACCCCCCCCCCUCCGCCUUCUGCUACCACCCCCCCAAGCUCGUCCCCCUGCUCGCGCGCCGUCCCCUCGCCAGGACACGAAGCCAUCGCCGCCGGUGCCGGCCUCCCCCCCGCCGCCGCCGCCGCCUCCGGGCUGCGUUUCGGGGUCCCCCCCCCCCUUCUCCGGCGCGGGACUUCGCCCGGCCCGUGGGCAUCGCCAGACAAUCCCCCCCCCCCCACCCCAGCCCCGGGCCGGCCCCGAAACGGGCGCCGCGGGGCGAAGCAUCCCCGCGCCCGCCCCGCCGCCGCCGCCGCCACGCGUAAGUAUUUAAUUUCGGCCCGUCCGCCUCGCCGGAAGGCGCCGCCGUCCCUCCGCUUUCGCCCCUCGCCCCCCCCCCCGUCCCCUCCUUUAAAGCGGCUCCGGCCGCGCGCCGCGUUUCGGCGUGGUUUUCCGAGCCCGGCCGGGCCGCGUCCGCGUUGCCGGUGAUCGGUGUAUAAAAUAAAGGUCUAUUUAUUGCUAC